GAAACAAAUGAUGGACACAAAUGACAUCACCGAAUACGGGUACCAGAACCAUCAGAAGUUUUCUGCAUUACAUUGAAUCUGGCUUGAAGCCUUUGAGAUAUGAGAUCUGCCCAAUAUCCGUCAUCAUGAGGGACCCACAGGUAGAGAUCAGGGCAGGUGAGCUCAUGAACUUAGAGAAAAGACAUCUAGCUGCCAAGGCAGCGUUGUAAAUCCAGCUACUCAUUGCUCAAGCACAAGCCUUCCUUCAAGACCGGCAACUCCUCUCUCCUCACAGCCCGCAAAGAGGCAGGAUUGUUCUGCUGCAGCUCCAGUAUGUCUGCUUUUGAGACCCUCUCCACCAGAAUCCUCGGGGUACCCUGGCAUGUCCUCAUCUAGACAACUGGAUAAUGCGCAAACAUCAUGUUCUGCCAAGAGUUUAGAAGUAGACGGGGGUUAGAGAUGUCUCUCCACCUUGCUACCAAGUCAGGUCCCUUUGGGGACAGGAAGUGAAGAGCUAUUAGUGUUUACAACUGGACAACAGGCAUAAACCAAAACUGUGCAGGCAGAGAAGGUCCUACGUCACUGCCUUCAUGAGGGAAAUUGAUCUCAGCAAAACCUGGCUACACUUGCAGACACUUGACGGCAAACAAAACAGACAGAACUUGUUAGGUAAGGAACCUGGUCCCCUGAGAGUGUCAUUUUCCCAAGGGCGAGGCCACAGGCAGAGUUUGUGUCCCCCCACCCCCGCCCCAGCUAACACAGAACCUGUGCCUUUCAUCAGCCCUGAGCUUCCUCCCCCAGCUUCUGAGAACAGCCUGCUAAAGCCUCAUGUCUGCGGCUUUCAGAGACGGGUCUUGACCCACGGGUACACUGCCCAACAGAGAACCAGAAAUUCCCUCGACAGCGCCACCGUCACACCAGCUCAAGGCCAGCGACUGGCGAGAAGUACCGAUGCCCAGUGCUUUGUCUACAGUCUGCCCCACCCCGCCCCCAAGAGCACCUGUAGUAUCUGGCAGAGCCGGGGUCUUCGUCUCAAAUCCCACCCUGCCCAGCUUCACCCCUUCUCUGUCCUGCUUGUCCGGCUCCACGGGGCUCUUCCUAACCGAUGACUUGCUCUCAGCUCCUGAGCCCAGGAACCACUCUUGGGAGAACCCAGGCUU
RNAcentral lists this long non-coding RNA (1139 nucleotides) under Sus scrofa (pig). Its description in RNAcentral is "lncRNA (ENSSSCG00040064207.1)". The record is from RNAcentral. Lineage: Eukaryota; Metazoa; Chordata; Mammalia; Artiodactyla; Suidae.